Molecule: long non-coding RNA, 1977 nt
Organism: Gavialis gangeticus (Gharial)
Lineage: Eukaryota; Metazoa; Chordata; Crocodylia; Gavialidae
Exons: 2
Source: RefSeq, a predicted model, not a curated record
UGAGGAAGCACUUUGCCUGGCUGCAUCCAGAGCACAAAGGUUUGAAAACCAUAAAGUGUCACCAGUAGUAAGGCCAUAUAAGGCUUUGGAGGUGGUGGCUAAUUGGACCUGGGACACAAAAAAUGUUCCAAAAUAUAAAAAAUAAGGUGUCCAAGAUACGGUUUUGCAAACCAGCUGGAUCUUGCUUUUGGGCCGUGCAUGUUAGGGUACAAGUGGUGGAUGAACAGCUUUCCAGAGCUGGUUCCUGGUAUAUCUGCAAACGCACUGGUUUCCCAUUGCUGUUUGUCGUCACUCCACCCAGUUCUUGAACGCAGACUCCAUUGCAUCCCUUCUCCCCUGCCAGUCCCCUCGCUGGCCCAGCUCCCCGCAGGCACCCAAAAUCCUGCAACUUCCCAGCUUCUUGCUGUCAGAGGUUUUGGGGAGGGCAGAGUUAUCUCCUGGGUGCAAAAGCCGCAGGCUUUACAUCAGCAGUAUGCUGCUGAUCCCAUGCAACCCCUCUCCAACCUUAUCUGUAUGCCUGGCAGCUUCAGGAAUGCAGACAAAGGUGACCUAUUGGGGCAGCAACGGUCUUGCCUGAAGAUUCAGGACAGCUUUCUCUCCAGGGCAAGUCAAUGAGUAACUUGCCGCUGUUAGCAGAAUUCAAGGAGCCGGGCAAACAAUUUGACCUUGUUCAUGCAGCAGUGAGCACUGUGGAUCUCAGCCUGCAGGAAAAGCAAACAAGCUGGAAGCUAAAGGGGAUGGGGCCAGGCAGGGACAACAGGACGGAGGGUAUAGCGUGGAAUCAAAUGAAAAUAAAGCAGAGCCUGUCACUAGCUGCAGCACGACCCUGAUGGGGAAAAAAAAGGAUUGGAGUCUGUUGAAAUUCCUGUCCAUACUCCCACUAUUCAGCUUUCUCAUGGGCUCUGCAGGAGAUGUCUUCAUUUCUUUGCAGGGCUCCUCACAGCUUGGCUCUUGGCCAUCUUGCAGCUUAACAGUAUUGCCAGUAUUCUUACUGCAGCUCUCGUGAUGCUUUCCCCUAUGCCCCCAGCCCCUGGACUCCUGGGGUCAUGCAACACAAGGAUGGCAUACGUAUGAAUUUCCCUGGCCUAGGCCCCGCAGCCUUGCACCCAGCACCAAAAAAGCCCUCGCUGACAUGACAAGAGAAGCAAGGACCCCAUCACCAAUCAAAAAGCACCCUUGCAAGACAGAGCACUGCUCUUAUCCCGAUGUAAGAAGUUUGCAGCAGAGCAAGGAGCAGAAACCAGAUCUCCUGCAUCCCAGGCUGGUGCCAUAAUCAUUUACCUUUCCCUGCUGCAGCUUCUGUGGGGGGGAAAUAAAAAUCAGAGACCAUCAGACGUAACCCAACAAUCAGCUCUCUACCUUUUCCAUCUACUGCCGCUGCCCCUACAUAUUUCUUUCAUUUCAGUUUUCUCUAUUGCGUCCUCUUACAUGGGACAGAUCCUUGCAGAGCUACAGCAGAGCUCUGAAGAUGCACAAAAUGAGACCGUCUUCCCAGAAAUGCCCGUUUUGGUUUUUUUUUUAAAAAGCUUGAUAGACGUGCUCAGCUCUAAAAGGAAUAUUUUAAGCACGCAUCCUAGUCAAUUCAUUAUUGCAGCAUCCCACACAUUUCUGGUGAUGCCUGGGCCAGUGUGGCAAUAUUAUUAUAUUACAACUUCCUUGAUCCCAGCAGUCACAUAUGGAAGUAAAGGACUAAUUGGUAGAGUUAUAAAAUCACUGAGAUUUGGAGAGGAUCUGCACAGCUGAGCGGUCUGUAUAACCCCUCCGUUAGAAGAGGGCUCACUGCGGAGUGCAUUAUGUAAUGCAUCUAAUACAUUAUGAUUAUUUUAGGGUUAUGUAUUUUUUUUAAAUAAUUGUACCGUUUAGUGUCACAGUGAAAAAGUAUAGAUCCUAUGUAGUUCGUGUUUGGGAACGAUUUAGAAAGCUUGUCCAAAGAAAAAGCUAUUUGUUUGAUAACCUAAUAAACACUUAUCACGCUCA